GAAAAGUUCCAGAUGCUAUGUUUGUUAGAGCCCACGCUGCUUCAAACUGCAACGUGUAAUUCUCACUCCUCUCUAGAAAUUUCACAAAUCUCUGUACGACUCCUGGUUUUUGGAUGACUUCAUCUAUGGGCGGAUUAGGCUCUUUAGAUAGCAACUUUCUGAAUUUCUGAGUUGCUGUGAGUUGCUGAUCAGGAUCAUCCGAGAAAAUCAUCUGCACCAUAUCUACUGUAAUAACUUCUUCCUCUGGAAUGGGUACAGUAGAGCUGAUGUCAGGAUCUUGAAUUGGACUUUCCACCAUAGAUUCUUCAUUUCCCGGGAGAGAAACAUUUCGGCGUUUAAAGAGUUGUUCUUCCCUUUUCUGUUUCCGAAGCUGGAUUCCUUCCUCUUCUCUUCGUCUGCGCAUUUCUUGCGGAUUAAGUGCAUUAUUUUUGUAGCUUUUCAUUCUGAAGUUAUCCUUCCCUGGGCUUGACAUGAUGUCCAUCGCAGCGGGGACGCACCGCGCCCGCCGCCCCCGAGGCGAGAGAACCCCACAGCGCUGCACUUUGCGCGGAACGCGGCGCUGAGCCCCCAGCCGGAGCGCAAGAUGGCGGCCGCCGCGCGCCGCACUAC
This 609-nucleotide long non-coding RNA is filed under the name Gallus gallus (chicken). Lineage: Eukaryota; Metazoa; Chordata; Aves; Galliformes; Phasianidae. The record is from RNAcentral.